GCCCUAUGGGUUGUAAACUGCUUUUGCAGAGGAAGAAUAAAGAAUACGUGUAUUCUGAUGACGGUACUCUGCGAAUAAGCAUCGGCUAACUCCGUGCCAGCAGCCGCGGUAAUACGGAGGAUGCAAGCGUUAUCCGGAAUCAUUGGGUUUAAAGGGUCCGUAGGCGGAUUAGUAAGUCAGUGGUGAAAGUCUACAGCUUAACUGUAGAAUUGCCAUUGAUACUGCCAAUCUUGAAUAACUAUGAAGUAAUUAGAAUGUGUAGUGUAGCGGUGAAAUGCAUAGAUAUUACACAGAAUACCGAUUGCGAAGGCAGAUUACUAGUAGUUUAUUGACGCUGAUGGACGAAAGCGUGGGGAGCGAACAGGAUUAGAUACCCUGGUAGUCCACGCCGUAAACGAUGGAUACUAGCUGUUCGUCACACAUUGGUGUGAUGAGUGGCUAAGCGAAAGUGAUAAGUAUCCCACCUGGGGAGUACGUUCGCAAGAAUGAAACUCAAAGGAAUUGACGGGGGCCCGCACAAGCGGUGGAGCAUGUGGUUUAAUUCGAUGGUACGCGAGGGACCUUACCAAGGCUUAAAUGCAGUUUGGCAGGUUUAGAAAUAAACCCUUCUUCGGACAAAUUGCAAGGUGCUGCAUGGUUGUCGUCAGCUCGUGCCGUGAGGUGUCAGGUUAAGUCCUAUAACGAGCGCAACCCCUGUUGUUAGUUACCAGCAUGUAAAGAUGGGAACUCUAACAAGACUGCCGGUGCAAACCGUGAGGAAGGUGGGGAUGACGUCAAAUCAUCACGGCCCUUACGUCUUGGGCUACACACGUGCUACAAUGGCAGGUACAAUGAGGAGCCACUUCGUGAGAAGGAGCAAAUCUAUAAAACCUGUCUCAGUUCGGAUCGUAGUCUGCAACUCGACUACGUGAAGCCGGAAUCGCUAGUAAUCGGAUAUCAGCCAUGAUCCGGUGAAUACGUUCCCGGGCCUUGACACACCGCC
Molecule: ribosomal RNA, 982 nt
Filed under: uncultured bacterium
Lineage: Bacteria
Description: bacterial SSU rRNA
Rfam family: Bacterial small subunit ribosomal RNA
Source: RNAcentral